AUACGUAGGGGGCGAGCGUUGUCCGGAAUGAUUGGGCGUAAAGGGCGCGUAGGCGGCGCGGUAAGUCUGGAGUGAAAGUCCUGCUUUCAAGGUGGGAAUUGCUUUGGAUACUGCCGCGCUUGAGUGCAGGAGAGGUUAUCGGAAUUCCCGGUGUAGCGGUGAAAUGCGUAGAGAUCGGGAGGAACACCAGUGGCGAAGGCGGGUAACUGGACUGCAACGGACGCUGAGGUGCGAAAGCUAGGGGAGCGAACAGGAUUAGAUACCCUGGUAGUCCUAGCCGUAAACGAUGGGCACUAGGUGUGGGGGAGCAUUUCCUCCGUGCCGCAGCUAACGCAUUAAGUGCCCCGCCUGGGGAGUACGGCCGCAAGGCUAAAACUCAAAUGAAUUGACGGGG
This 394-nucleotide ribosomal RNA is filed under the name uncultured bacterium. RNAcentral's name for it is "partial 16S ribosomal RNA". It matches the Rfam family "Bacterial small subunit ribosomal RNA", at positions 523 to 918 of the family's 1533-position model. The record is from RNAcentral.